This 253-nucleotide ribosomal RNA is filed under the name uncultured bacterium. RNAcentral's name for it is "partial 16S ribosomal RNA". It matches the Rfam family "Bacterial small subunit ribosomal RNA", at positions 524 to 776 of the family's 1533-position model. The record is from RNAcentral.
UACGUAGGGUGCAAGCGUUAAUCGGAAUUACCGGGCGUAAAGCGUGCGCAGGCGGUUUUGUAAGUCUGACGUGAAAUCCCCGGGCUCAACCUGGGAAUUGCGUUGGAGACUGCAAGGCUAGAAUCUGGCAGAGGGGGGUAGAAUUCCACGUGUAGCAGUGAAAUGCGUAGAGAUGUGGAGGAACACCGAUGGCGAAGGCAGCCCCCUGGGUCAAGAUUGACGCUCAUGCACGAAAGCGUGGGGAGCAAACAGG